Petromyzon marinus (sea lamprey) is the source of this 201-nucleotide non-coding RNA. The record is from RefSeq and is a predicted model, not a curated record. Lineage: Eukaryota; Metazoa; Chordata; Hyperoartia; Petromyzontiformes; Petromyzontidae.
CAAGCCCGCUUGAGCUGCUAUACCGCUCUUGUUUUCAGAAGCGACCUGCCCACAACACAAGCUGUCGCUUCCUCUGCAGAAUAUGUCUGAUGGAGCAAAGGCACUCGGCGCGGCUCGGUGCAAAAAGGCAACAAUGUGACCGGCGUGCAAACAGCACGGAUCGUCCUGACCAUUUGACACGGCACCAGAGAACUCACACAG